CCCCCAUCUAAAAAACUCUCGAUCCCCAUUCAUAAAUCAAAUCUUAACCCUAGCAACAGGACCAACGCGCCGCCGGAAAUCAGGUCGUCGAGCGAGAGCUAUUCGCGAUUCCUUCCCUCGACAUGGCUUCCACUUUCCGGGGAUCUCCGCAGGCUUCUUGAUGGCGCGGCGCCUAUCUCUUGCGAGGCUAUCUGGCGCUCUUCAGGCCCUUUCUGAUCGGCGACCACGAACUGAACGAUGCGGCAACGCGGGGCAAGGAAACGGAGUGCAGCAGCAAGGUGAAACACAUGGGGAACGUCGGACCAGGGGCAAUCCAGUUCAUGUUUUCCUGCAUCGUUGAAGAGAUCAAUCGCUAUUGAUUACAUGUAUACGUUAGCCCUGGAUACUCCUGGUGCAUACUGCAUAGACCAGAUCACCCACAUUCAAUUGGGCAAAGGAAUUUUGCAAUCAGGUCACUGAGUUUUUUGAAUGUACAGGUAUUUUUUUCAUCUUUAGGUUGCCAUCUUUUCUUGAUAAAAUUCGAAAAUGCAUAUAGUUUCAUGCUUGAGGUACAAUUCGGAUCACCUUAUAUUUCUAGGAUAUAUAUGUGUACAGAAUAAGAUUUUCAAAUUGCGGCCAUGAGCCCAUGAUGAGCAUUUUUAUGUUGUUGAAAUGAUUCCACUGACGGUGCUGACCACAUGUAAGUUUCCCUCCUCCCCUGUUUCCUCCAAUUCCUAUAAUUAAAAUUUGGCCUUUUGUAUUUUUUCUU
Long non-coding RNA from Lolium rigidum, 748 nucleotides. RefSeq lists it as uncharacterized. NCBI's taxonomy places the organism in Eukaryota, Viridiplantae, Streptophyta, Magnoliopsida, Poales, Poaceae. The record is from RefSeq and is a predicted model, not a curated record. The transcript has 3 exons.